Molecule: long non-coding RNA, 1379 nt
Organism: Cavia porcellus (domestic guinea pig)
Lineage: Eukaryota; Metazoa; Chordata; Mammalia; Rodentia; Caviidae
Exons: 4
Source: RefSeq, a predicted model, not a curated record
UAGGGCGACCCUGUGCGUGUCAUUACCGAGAGACGCUUUUUUUAAUGGGGUCGGGAGGCGAGUGCGCAUGCGCAUUGCUCCUCCAGCGCUCCUUCCUGUAAUUCUGUGUAUUUCUUCCUGUAGUUCUCCUUCCGGUUGUUCUUUGCCCUUUCCCCUACCUGCGAGCCAGUCCCAGUUCCACCAGAGGAGAAGGCCAUGACCCAGUUUUAGAUUCAUCUAAUUUUUAUUCUUCAAUGGCAAGCAGAAACACCAAAAGGAUACCCAGGAUUUGGAAGCAGACUUAUUUUAUGUCAACAGGAACCAGUAACACUUGAGGAUGUUGUUGGCACUUCACCAAGGACGAGUGCAGACAGCUGCAUCCUCCACAGAGACGUGUGUGUGGAGAAGCGACUUUGGUGAACAGCAGGAAUCUGGUCUGUGGGGUAGGGACUGUGCUUUUUGCAACUGAAAACCUGUUGGGGAGUAUGUGCUUUCUCAUUUUUUAAAAUUUAAAUCUUUUUCAUUAGUACACUUUGUAGUACGUAGUGAUUACAUUCAUCAAGGGGAGGGUGGGAGCUGGUACAUGUGAUUAACGCAUCUUAAUUCUUUUUACUUCCCUUCAACUCUUGGUUCCCUUCUCAUUUUCAAAGGAUCCUCAGGUGUUGACAGCUGUGAGUCCUCACAGUACUGAGCUGGGCGUUCAUCUCAAAACCCAGAGCUUUCCAGUCCUUUGACCACUGUGUUAGGCAGCUUUCCAUCACUCUGAAAUACUUUAAAUACAUACUUUAAUAAGGGAAUGGUUUAUUUUGGCUCACAAUUUCAGAGCUAGGUAGCACAUUAUGGAUUUCAGAUUCAAAUAGUUUUUGGAAUUUUAGAUACUUCCACAUCCACAGUGAAGUAACUGAGAUUGGAACCCUUAGUGUAAACACAGAAUUCUCUCAUGUUUCUUAUACAUCUGAUAAUAAUAUCCCGAAAAUAACUUUUGCACAAAAAUUUCUUGAUAAUUUUUUACAUAAAACAAAGACUAGGUGUAUGGUGUUUCCCAUUUGGAUUGUAUCAGUGAUAUUCAAAGAGUAUUGGAUUUUGGAGCAUCUACUAUUCAGGAUUUUCAUAUUAGCAAUGCUCAGUUCACUGAUUAUUACAUAAAUGCAUAAGCCAUUAUUAUGAUGUGCCUACAGUUGAUUCAUUGAUUUAGUGGAAAAUAUACAUGUUUCUUGUUUCUACUGCAAUAAUGUUCUUUCAAAGUAAACUGAUUUUAUGGUGAAAUUCUUAUAAAUGGAAAAUUAAAUGCAAUAUUUAUUCUGUCCAUUUCAUUUUGCAACAAUCUUAUCACCUAUUUUGUAUCAUGUAUUUCAAUUGGCUGUUCAGUGAAAAAUAAUAAACUUAUAUUGUGUGACUUA